GCUGGGUAUGGUGGUGCCCACCUGUAGUCCCAGCUGCUUGGGAAGCUGAGGCAGGAGGAUCGCUUGAGCCUGGGAGGUCAAGGUUGCAGUGAGCCAAGAUUGUGCCACUGCACUCCAGCCUGGGUGAAAAAGUGAGACCCUGUCUCAA
Molecule: non-coding RNA, 148 nt
Filed under: Pan paniscus (pygmy chimpanzee)
Lineage: Eukaryota; Metazoa; Chordata; Mammalia; Primates; Hominidae
Also listed under: 1 other name
Source: Rfam by way of RNAcentral